Molecule: transfer RNA, 73 nt
Filed under: Cordylochernes scorpioides
Lineage: Eukaryota; Metazoa; Arthropoda; Arachnida; Pseudoscorpiones; Chernetidae
Description: tRNA-Thr
Source: RNAcentral
GUCCAGGGAUGGGAAACGAACCCACAGUGUUCCGCUUACUGGGCAGAUGCCAUGUCCACUAGGUUACCCUGGA